AAAAAAAAAAAAAAGUUACAUAUACAUAUUAAAUACGUUGCAUGUGUACAACCCUAAUACGUAACUAAUGCACCAUUUUUAUUUCUAAUUCAGAUAUUAUGUAGGUCUACUAACAGCACUAGCACUUUUCCAUUGUUUAGUGUUUGUUUUCUGUCUUGUUUUUUUCAUUUUAUUUUUGAAAAAUGAUAGCACAAAGAAUCAAUGGAAAUCUUUCUACAACACAUCAAGCGAUGUCCCUUUUUACGUUUUAGUGAGUGCACUCACUGUGUUGAACGGAGUUUUUUUUGUUUUAGUUGUACAACUUCUAGGAUUGCACAUUUUUCUGAUUUUAAAAAAAAUGACCACAUAUGAGUAUAUCGUUAACAGAUCGAACUCUAAGGAUAAAGAAAAUAAAAACACAAGGACGUGUUUAGAAUGGAUAGUCAUAGAUAAAAAGCGCUUGAAAAGCAAUAAUGAUAUUGAAGUAUGAAAAUUGAAUUUUUUUUUUUUCAUUUUUUUUAGCUAUAUAUUUAGCUAUACAUUUAUAUAUAUAUAUAUAUACCCCAUUUGGGCCACUUUUUUACAAAAUACAAAUAAUAUAUACAAAAAAAUAACUCAUUGAAUUAAUUUGCUUUGUUUUACAGAAUAUAGAAAAUCCAUAACAUUGAAUUAUCAAAAACUGAAAAAAAAUAAUAAAAUGUUAUUAAAACAAAUAAAAAGGAAAAAA
Molecule: long non-coding RNA, 706 nt
Filed under: Piliocolobus tephrosceles (Ugandan red Colobus)
Lineage: Eukaryota; Metazoa; Chordata; Mammalia; Primates; Cercopithecidae
Description: lncRNA (ENSPTEG00000010689.1)
Source: RNAcentral